RNAcentral lists this ribosomal RNA (399 nucleotides) under uncultured cyanobacterium. RNAcentral describes it as "bacterial SSU rRNA". It matches the Rfam family "Bacterial small subunit ribosomal RNA", at positions 381 to 795 of the family's 1533-position model. Lineage: Bacteria; Bacillati; Cyanobacteriota. The record is from RNAcentral.
GCCUGACGGAGCAACGCCGCGUGAGGGAUGAAGGCCUCUGGGCUGUAAACCUCUUUUAUCAAGGAAGAAGAUCUGACGGUACUUGAUGAAUAAGCCACGGCUAAUUCCGUGCCAGCAGCCGCGGUAAUACGGGAGUGGCAAGCGUUAUCCGGAAUUAUUGGGCGUAAAGCGUCCGCAGGCGGCCCAGAAAGUCUGCUGUUAAAAAGUGGAGCUUAACUCCAUUUCGGCAGUGGAAACUGACAGACUAGAGUGUGGUAGGGGCAGAGGGAAUUCCCGGUGUAGCGGUGAAAUGCGUAGAUAUCGGGAAGAACACCAGUGGCGAAGGCGCUCUGCUGGGCCAUCACUGACGCUCAUGGACGAAAGCCAGGGGAGCGAAAGGGAUUAGAUACCCCUGUAGUC